Molecule: ribosomal RNA, 235 nt
Filed under: uncultured Micrococcus sp.
Lineage: Bacteria; Bacillati; Actinomycetota; Actinomycetes; Micrococcales; Micrococcaceae
Description: partial 16S ribosomal RNA
Rfam family: Bacterial small subunit ribosomal RNA
Source: RNAcentral
UCGACGCGGCCGAGUCGCCAGCAGCCGCGGUAAUACGUAGGUCCCGAGCGUUGUCCGGAUUUAUUGGGCGUAAAGCGAGCGCAGGCGGUUUGAUAAGUCUGAAGUUAAAGGCUGUGGCUCAACCAUAGUUCGCUUUGGAAACUGUCAAACUUGAGUGCAGAAGGGGAGAGUGGAAUUCCAUGUGUAGCGGUGAAAUGCGUAGAUAUAUGGAGGAACACCGGUGUCGACGCGGCCG